AUGUGAUCAAUUACAAAAAUUAUUUGCUUGAUCAGAUGUUUUUUCAAUUCAUGAUAUGGUUCCCAAUAUGCAACAAUUCUAAACAUUUUCAUGCAUCAUAAAAGCCGUUACGAAAUCAAAAUCACAAAUAAAUUUUACUACUCUGAGCUAUAAAAUCAGUGCUCCAACAACACCAGCACGACGAGGAUCUUGUAUUAGUAUUACUGAAGAACAUGUAUCGAAAUGCGAUUGUUGAGGCAAUAUGUCCCAUUCUUUGCGAUGAAUACAUUCAUUGCUUGAGUCUUUGAACGGAAAAGUACUGUUGCCAUUUUAACAGGUUCAUUACCCUCGCCAGUUCUGAAACAAAGCACCAUCAUCUUGAGAGAAUAGUAAAAUCAGACAUCAAACAAAUUUAAAAAUGACAUAUACUUGAUGUUAACCUUAGAAACAUAUUGAGGGAAGAUGAAUCAUGAUCAUAAUCGG
RNAcentral lists this long non-coding RNA (462 nucleotides) under Trifolium pratense (red clover). RNAcentral's name for it is "long non-coding RNA (TPRA_LNC004600)". Lineage: Eukaryota; Viridiplantae; Streptophyta; Magnoliopsida; Fabales; Fabaceae. The record is from RNAcentral.